Molecule: ribosomal RNA, 162 nt
Filed under: uncultured bacterium
Lineage: Bacteria
Description: partial 16S ribosomal RNA
Rfam family: Bacterial small subunit ribosomal RNA
Source: RNAcentral
UAGGGAANCUUCCACAAUGGGCGCAAGCCUGAUGGAGCAACACCGCGUGAGUGAAGAAGGGUUUCGGCUCGUAAAGCUCUGUUGUUGGAGAAGAACGUGCGUGAGAGUAACUGUUCACGCAGUGACGGUAUCCAACCAGAAAGUCACGGCUAACUACGUGCC